AGGGUUUGAUCCUGGCUCAGAAUCAACGCUGGCGGCGUGCCUCAGACAUGCAAGUCGAACGCGAAAGCCUCCUUCGGGGGGCAAGUAGAGUGGCGCACGGGUGAGUAACACGUAGGUAAUCUACCUUUGGAUUGGGAAUAACAACCGGAAACGGUUGCUAAUACCGAAUAAUGCAGCGGCACCUAAUGGUGACAGUUGUUAAAGCGGGGGAUCGCAAGACCUCGCGUCUGAAGAGGAGCCUGCGGCAGAUUAGCUAGUUGGUAAGGUAACGGCUUACCAAGGCGAUGAUCUGUAGCCGGCCUGAGAGGGCGGUCGGCCACACUGACACUGACAUACGGGUCAGACUCCUACGGGAGGCAGCAGUCGGGAAUUUUGGGCAAUGGGCGAAAGCCUGACCCAGCAACGCCGCGUGAAGGAUGAAAUCCUUCGGGAUGUAAACUUCGCAAGAACGGGAAGAAUAAGUAAGAGUUAACAUCUCUUAUGAUGACGGUACUGUUUGUAAGCUCCGGCUAACUCCGUGCCAGCAGCCGCGGUAAUACGGGGGGAGCAAGCGUUGUUCGGAUUUACUGGGCGUAAAGGGCGCGUAGGCGGCCACCGCAAGUCGACUGUGAAAUCUCCGGGCUUAACCCGGAAAGGUCAGCCGAUACUGCGGGGCUAGAGUGCAGAAGGGGCAACUGGAAUUCUCGGUGUAGCGGUGAAAUGCGUAGAUAUCGAGAGGAACACCUGCGGCGAAGGCGGGUUGCUGGGCUGACACUGACGCUGAUGUGCGAAAGCUAGGGGAGCGAACGGGAUUAGAUACCCCGGUAGUCCUAGCCUUAAACGAUGAAUGCUUGGUGUCUGGGGUUUUAUAGUCCCCGGGUGCCGUCGCUAACGCUUUAAGCAU
Molecule: ribosomal RNA, 883 nt
Filed under: uncultured Acidobacteriota bacterium
Lineage: Bacteria; Pseudomonadati; Acidobacteriota
Description: bacterial SSU rRNA
Rfam family: Bacterial small subunit ribosomal RNA
Source: RNAcentral